UACAGAGAGUGCAAGCGUUAAUCGGAAUCACUGGGCGUAAAGCGUAUGUAGGUGGGUAUUUAAGUCGGAUGUGAAAUCCCUGGGCUUAACCUAGGAAUUGCAUUUGAUACUGGGUAUCUAGAGUAUGGUAGAGGGAAGUGGAAUUUCUGGUGUAGCGGUGAAAUGCGUAGAUAUCAGAAGGAACAUCAGUGGCGAAGGCGGCUUCCUGGACCAAUACUGACACUAAAGUACGAAAGCGUGGGUAGCAAACAGG
This 253-nucleotide ribosomal RNA is filed under the name uncultured bacterium. RNAcentral describes it as "partial 16S ribosomal RNA". It matches the Rfam family "Bacterial small subunit ribosomal RNA", at positions 524 to 776 of the family's 1533-position model. The record is from RNAcentral.